GACGAACGCUGGCGGCGUGCUUAACACAUGCAAGUCGAACGGAAAGGCCCUGCUUUUGUGGGGUGCUCGAGUGGCGAACGGGUGAGUAACACGUGAGUAACCUGCCCUUGACUUUGGGAUAACCUCAGGAAACUGGGGCUAAUACCGGAUAGGAGCUCCUGAUGCAUGUUGGGGGUUGGAAAAUUUCGGCGGUUAGGGAUGGACUCGCGGCUUAUCAGCUUGUUGGUGGGGUAGUGGCUUACCAAGGCUUUGACGGGUAGCCGGCCUGAGAGGGUGACCGGCCACAUUGGGACUGAGAUACGGCCCAGACUCCUACGGGAGGCAGCAGUGGGGAAUAUUGCACAAUGGGCGGAAGCCUGAUGCAGCAACGCCGCGUGCGGGAUGACGGCCUUCGGGUUGUAAACCGCUUUCGCCAGGGAAGAAGCGAGAGUGACGGUAAUGGGUAAAGAAGCACCGGCUAACUACGUG
Molecule: ribosomal RNA, 468 nt
Filed under: uncultured bacterium
Lineage: Bacteria
Description: partial 16S ribosomal RNA
Rfam family: Bacterial small subunit ribosomal RNA
Source: RNAcentral